AAUACAUCUAGAAAUAGUUUCCAAAAAAAAAGGGAGCUAAUUACUCCUUUUCUUGAUCAACUUUGAAUCACUUAUUUAUGUUGGAAUUUUUACUCUCCAUAAAAGGCUAAUUUGUUUUAGCCAGAACAAGAAAAGGCGCCUGCAAGAAUAUUUUUAAAAAUCGGUGCUUGACCUAAUGCAUAUAAGAAAAAGACUGAUGAUGCAAAAGUAAGGACUAUUUUAUAAGUUUUGUUAACUUUUAAAUUAGAGAACUUUGUAAGUGCUGAGUUCAUUUUUUCAUUAUUUCUAUAACCAAUAUAGCCCCUUAAAUAAAAGAUUCAGCAUCAAAAUUUACCAAAAAUUAAUUUUGUUGUUGCGGUAAUUCGGUGGCAUUUUUUAUUUGUUCAAAUUCAUUUUUAGAAACGACUCUUAUUU
This 414-nucleotide non-coding RNA is filed under the name Prochlorococcus marinus subsp. pastoris str. CCMP1986. Lineage: Bacteria; Bacillati; Cyanobacteriota; Cyanophyceae; Synechococcales; Prochlorococcaceae. The record is from RNAcentral.